This 253-nucleotide ribosomal RNA is filed under the name Bacteroides cellulosilyticus DSM 14838. RNAcentral describes it as "partial 16S ribosomal RNA". It matches the Rfam family "Bacterial small subunit ribosomal RNA", at positions 524 to 776 of the family's 1533-position model. The record is from RNAcentral. Lineage: Bacteria; Pseudomonadati; Bacteroidota; Bacteroidia; Bacteroidales; Bacteroidaceae.
UACGGAGGAUCCAAGCGUUAUCCGGAUUUAUUGGGUUUAAAGGGAGCGUAGGCGGACUAUUAAGUCAGCUGUGAAAGUUUGCGGCUCAACCGUAAAAUUGCAGUUGAUACUGGUCGUCUUGAGUGCAGUAGAGGUAGGCGGAAUUCGUGGUGUAGCGGUGAAAUGCUUAGAUAUCACGAAGAACUCCGAUUGCGAAGGCAGCUUACUGGACUGUAACUGACGCUGAUGCUCGAAAGUGUGGGUAUCAAACAGG